UUGGGCGAGAGUAGUAGUGCUUUGGCGAGAGUAGUACUAGGAUGGGUGACCUCCUGGGAAGUCCUCGUGUUGCACCUC
RNAcentral lists this ribosomal RNA (78 nucleotides) under Vigna angularis (adzuki bean). The record is from RNAcentral. Lineage: Eukaryota; Viridiplantae; Streptophyta; Magnoliopsida; Fabales; Fabaceae.